CUCCAGGUCUCCCUAGCACGAACGCAUUCAAAGCUGAAUGACGGUCCCAUUCGCGUGCAUCUACCAUCAGAUAGAUAGCUGACUUCGCUGAUGACUCCGUGGCAGCCUCCCCACUUCCGUGUUUGUGUCCGUAGAUGUUGACGGCACAGACUUUGCAGUGUAGCGCACGGCUUGAAUGAGUCCACGGAGCACUGAGUGAUUGCGUGUGUCGCGAGGUCCCCUAGUGCUGCUUCCAGACUGGUCUUUAUUCUAAAACUAAUAAAUGGUAAAUAAG
Molecule: long non-coding RNA, 274 nt
Organism: Sardina pilchardus (European sardine)
Lineage: Eukaryota; Metazoa; Chordata; Actinopteri; Clupeiformes; Clupeidae
Exons: 5
Source: RefSeq, a predicted model, not a curated record